UACAGAGGUCUCAAGCGUUGUUCGGAAUAACUGGGCGUAAAGGGUGCGUAGGCCGCACGGUAAGUCAGAGGUGAAAUCCCGGAGCUCAACUUCGGAAUUGCCUCCGAUACUGCCGUGCUUGAGGACUGGAGAGGAGAUUGGAAUUCACAGUGGAGCAGUGAAAUGCGUAGAUAUUGUGAGGAACACUAGUGGCGAAGGCGAAUCUCUGGACAGUUCCUGACGCUGAGGCACGAAGGCCAGGGGAGCAAACGGG
RNAcentral lists this ribosomal RNA (253 nucleotides) under uncultured bacterium. Its description in RNAcentral is "partial 16S ribosomal RNA". It matches the Rfam family "Bacterial small subunit ribosomal RNA", at positions 524 to 776 of the family's 1533-position model. The record is from RNAcentral.